This is a small nucleolar RNA of Nannospalax galili (Upper Galilee mountains blind mole rat), 89 nucleotides long. NCBI's taxonomy places the organism in Eukaryota, Metazoa, Chordata, Mammalia, Rodentia, Spalacidae. The record is from Ensembl.
GCUGGCACGUGUGAUGACAAUUUCUUUCCCCAUCAGAUCGACCAUGUUGAUCUCACUUUCUCUUAAGCCAGUUUGUCUGACAUGCCAGC